CACUGAACUCAAAUCUCUUGGCGGGCCCCACUACAAUUUGCUCCCCCACCCUCUCUCCUCACAUUUUCCAUUACUUUCCCACAUUUUCUCUCCUACCGAACAGACUCUGAGAAAGUGAAGGAGAAAAGGGGUUUCGCUUUUCCCUCCUGUGAGCGGUGAAGGAUUCGAUCGCAAAAACCGGAGAUUAUAGCCGGUGGGAGAACUAUCUGAGACUCCAUCAUCAACUCUUAAUCGUCCAUGCUGACUACUUUAAGAGAAUCAGCUAACAACGCCGUUUUGGCUGGCGUUAUUGGUAUUCUAACAGGGUUUUAAGAUUGUAUUAGGCCUUGGUUGAAAUGGUUCUGCAUGCCAGAAAAAUGUUGGGUUAAGGAUAAUCUUGAUGAAGUCAUUGGACUUGUGUACAGGUUUGCGCUGAACAGAGGGGAAAUGCUACCUUGUUGGAGGAAGCCCCAUAUUAAUUUGGUACUUACCUCCUCUCUGUAUAUUUUAUUCACGUUCUCUGGAACAUCUAGGAACAAGGAGGGUGUUGAUGAUCUGCUGUAAGAAGAAACCAUGGAGCAUGAGAAAAAAUUUCCUUUGGAUGCAAAAGACUACAAAUUAUACGAGGAAGUUGGUGAAGGUGUUAGUGCCACCGUGUACAGGGCUCUCUGCAUUCCACUUAAUGAGAUUGUUGCUAUCAAGGUUCUUGAUCUGGAAAAAUGUAACAAUGACCUGGAUGGUAUUCGUCGAGAGGUGCAGACAAUGAGCUUGAUUGAUCAUCCAAAUUUAUUACAGGCACAUUGCUCUUUCACUUCUGGUCACACCCUCUGGGUUGUGAUGCCAUAUAUGGCUGGGGGAUCUUGCCUUCAUAUAAUGAAAUCUGAGUAUCCAGAAGGUUUUGAUGAACCUGUUAUUGCCACCUUAUUACGAGAAGUACUUAAAGCCCUUGUUUAUCUUCAUAACCAUGGGCAUAUCCACAGAGAUGUGAAGGCUGGGAAUAUUUUGAUUGAUUCUGAUGGUGCAGUCAAGUUAGCAGACUUUGGAGUGUCAGCAUGCAUGUUUGAUGCUGGAGAUAGGCAACGUUCAAGAAAUACUUUUGUUGGAACUCCAUGCUGGAUGGCUCCUGAAGUUAUGCAGCAGUUGCAUGGAUAUGAUUUUAAAGCAGACAUCUGGUCAUUUGGAAUAACAGCACUUGAACUUGCUCAUGGCCAUGCUCCAUUUUCUAAGUAUCCACCAAUGAAGGUUUUGCUGAUGACCUUACAAAAUGCACCUCCAGGUCUUGACUAUGAAAGAGACAAAAAAUUUUCAAAGUCAUUCAAAGAGAUGGUAGCCACCUGCUUAGUGAAGGAUCCAAAGAAACGUCCGACUUCAGAGAAGCUUUUUAAGCACAGUUUCUUUAAACAUGCACGUUCAAAUGAAUAUUUAGCUCGUACCAUUCUUGAGGGCCUUACUCCACUAGGUGAUCGUUUUAGGACACUGAAGGCAAAAGAAGCUGAUCUUCUUGUACAGAACAAGGCUUUGUAUGGGGACAAAGAGCAAUUAUCACAGCAAGAGUACAUACGAGGAAUCAGUGCCUGGAAUUUUAAUCUGGAGGAUUUGAAAAAUCAGGCUGCCCUUAUUCAGGAUUAUGAUGUCAUUUCAAAUGUAGAAGAUCCAGAUUGUUCAAAUGCUGCACCGAGUCACGAGGUAUCCCUACCCAUGCUAAAGUUAUCUCCACAUGGUUCAUCCACUGCAGUAUUGUGGGUCUUCCUGGGUCUCUUUUUGAACUUGUGUCAGAUGUUUAAAUCCACCUUUUGUUUGUUUCAGGAUGGGCUCAAUGAUCUAUCUAAUUUGGAGAAUUCGCUCGCUUCAUUUCCCAUUCAACCUCUUCAAGCACUUAAAGGUUAUUUUGAUGUUUGUGAGGAUGAUGGGAAUGCUAGUAGUUUGAGUUGGAGAGAUGUAAUUCAGUCAGAAUCUGAACAACAAUCAGUGGAUCAAGAAGCUGAAAAGGAUGAUGGUGAGAAUUUUGGGCGGAGUAGCUCUUUACCACGCCAAAUCAUUCCUGGGCAUAAAAAAUUUUUUAGCGGUUCACUGCUACAGGAUAAUGCUCUCUCUCCUAAAAAGGUUAAUGGUGAUGGGGACAGGGAAUAUAUACAAUCAAGAUAUCAACCCGAGCGGAACUAUAGUGGUCCAUUAUUACAUCGUCAAAAAAGAGAUACAAGUAACAUUUCAUCUGUGGAGGAUACACCAGAGGGAGCAGUUGUGCAACGCAAGGGCCGUUUUAAAGUCACUGCAGCAGAGCUCAGUCCCAAGGGUCCUACAAAUUGCUUCUUCAGCCAAGUUUCUGGAGGUUCAACAAGUCCAACAACACCAAGCCUUACAGCUGGCUCAAUUCUUCCAUCACUGCAAUUUGUUUUGCAGCAGAACACCAUGCAAAGGGAAGAAAUAAUGAAAUUGAUCAAAUAUGUGGAGCAGUCCUGUGGCAAUCACAUAGAAGAGGCAGGCUCUAUCGACCUUUCACAGAUACAUGCUGUUUCUACUAGGGAGAAAGAGCUUCAGUCUCAGGUGAUUCAUCUGCAACAAAGCAUUGGGACUCUAGUUGAAGAAUUGCAAAGACAGAAGUUGAAAAAUGCUCAGGUAGAAAGACAAUUGAAUGCAGUAGCUAACAAGGUGGGAAAGGUAAGGAGAGGAAAUGGAGCAUGAUAAUGACGGGAAUGGUGAAGCUGAAAUGUCAUCUUCCUGAUUGUUUCUUGAUUGACAAGGAGUUGGAUGUUGAUAUUCAAAGUACUUGUUCAAGGAUUGAUCCUUGCCAGCUAAAUGCUACAACGUUGAGUUUCCAAGAUUGAAAACAGGGCCCGAGCAUCAAACCGAAGACUGCUGAAGAGUCUACCAUACACGAUUCUCAAUCACAGCAGACAUGAUUCCUCGCAAUGUCUCCUGCCAGACGCGAAGGUUAUCUCAUUAGUUUUUUACCAUAUUAUUGCUCAAGAAGAAAAUGCAUAAAUCUUUUGAUUACUACCAUUGAAUGGUCUUUGAGACCCAGAGAGAGCACCAACGACCUUGAUGAGCCUGAACUACUGCAAGCACAAUAGGACAUGUUCUAAGUGUGCUACUAUUUAAAGGCAAGUACACAGGAUGGAUAGCGUUAGGAUUAUUGUAUCUGUUUCUUGUGGGCGUGGAUGGAUGCUGAAUUAAAAGCCGAGGGAGAUUGCUAACACACUCCAUCUUUACAAAAACAUUCAGUAGUCUAGAAUAGAUAAAAAGGCGUUGAUUCCUAAGAAUGGAGCUAUAGCAAUGUAUCACAUUGGAAUGGAAAUAUACCUUAUGUGUUCGAUCAGUUGACGAGCACUUGCCAC
Molecule: RNA transcript, 3314 nt
Organism: Vitis riparia (riverbank grape)
Lineage: Eukaryota; Viridiplantae; Streptophyta; Magnoliopsida; Vitales; Vitaceae
Gene name: serine/threonine-protein kinase BLUS1
Exons: 21
Source: RefSeq, a predicted model, not a curated record